Long non-coding RNA from Populus nigra (black poplar), 514 nucleotides. RefSeq lists it as uncharacterized. The record is from RefSeq and is a predicted model, not a curated record. The transcript has 3 exons. Lineage: Eukaryota; Viridiplantae; Streptophyta; Magnoliopsida; Malpighiales; Salicaceae.
UAACCCAACUGCUGAUGGAUGAUGUAACCUUUUUAAAAACCUGGUUCUUGUAAUCUAAUGGUUUGUUUUACUGCUACUCUCUACUCGUGCAAAAAACAUGACCAACCAUUUGAUUCUGCUGACAAUAAUUUCAUUUUCCUUUCCCUCUGUCAGGCACCGUGUGAGAAUUUACAAAAUGAUUUAGAAAUGCCAAGAAGAAGAGAUAGAACAUAUCAAAAUAUCGCUGGUAUGAAAAAUACAAUCUUCAAGAAAUGGGAACGAAAGGUUGAAGUCUUCUGGAAGAUGGGAGGAGAAAGAACAUGUUACUUCUUCCAACCAUAUCCUAGCUGUGAAAAUGGAUAUUACGAUGGCAUCUGAAGAGGUUGUCGGCAGCCGUCCUAACGGAGAAGCGGAUCAAGAGGCUCGAAAUCCCUCGACAACAUGAUAAUGUAAAUGAAUCUCAUCUCCAAUAUGAUUGAUCUCUGAUUAUGCUUCAGCUAUUGGAUAAAGAUAAUGAAAUUCGAACUCCUAACUA